Meloidogyne enterolobii is the source of this 73-nucleotide non-coding RNA. The record is from the annotation of a GenBank genome assembly. NCBI's taxonomy places the organism in Eukaryota, Metazoa, Nematoda, Chromadorea, Rhabditida, Meloidogynidae.
UAGUGUAUGGUUAAGUAGGUAAGACUUCCGACUUGUAACGGAGAGGGGUGAGGUUCGAACCCCGCUGUGGUAA